AAUUCAUAUCUCCAGAACGAAGAAGAAGUAAAGAGAAAUAGAAAAGUGUCUUUAUGGAAAGGCUGAGGGAAGGACGAGCCUUCAUGUGACUUCUCUAUCUCCGUUCGUUUCCUCACUCACAUCUUUUUCAUUUUGCUUUUCUUUUUCUUCU
RNAcentral lists this non-coding RNA (151 nucleotides) under uncultured Symbiodinium. Lineage: Eukaryota; Dinophyceae; Suessiales; Symbiodiniaceae. The record is from RNAcentral.